Long non-coding RNA from Mercenaria mercenaria, 2493 nucleotides. RefSeq lists it as uncharacterized. NCBI's taxonomy places the organism in Eukaryota, Metazoa, Mollusca, Bivalvia, Venerida, Veneridae. The record is from RefSeq and is a predicted model, not a curated record. The transcript has 2 exons.
CCUAUGGUGGACGAGAAAAACAACAAAUUUUUUCAAUGUGUAAACUGGUAAAGAAACGAAAAACGGCAACACGAAAGGAACAACUUCAGAACAGUUCUGGACCACACAGAUUAUCAUGGCAAUAACCUAUUGUAGAAGUGAAUACCUUUGGUAGAUAGCCAGUGAUGAGGAAGCCUUAUGACCAGUCACCGCCAUAAUCUGUGGUGCAGAAUGACCCUUUCCUAGGAUUGUAGCACCAGUCACACGUACAGAGUGGUUGGUGUAUACGGCAGAUAGUGGAACAGCUUUGCUAAGCUUCUGCAUGAAUUCACUUAAGACAUUUCGGCCAAUUGGACGAUUCUGGUACCAGACAUCAUCAGAUUCCAAGAAUACUUCUCUAGGGUACUGCCACAGCCUAUCAGUAUUGGGAUUCAAUUUACCGACAUAUUUCAGGAAAUUGUUCACUGGACAGUUGUCAGUAUUUACAUUGUCUGCCGGCAUGUGCCCUGUUACAAGGGUCUUAUCAUUCUCUUUGUGAUUCUUGGUGGAUUCAUCCUCUGCCUUAUAUAUAUACCUUUCACCAUUUGGAUACUGGCCAAGCUUGAAAGUUGACUUUGUCAUUUUUUCCAUAUUUUCAUUUGCCCUCCGGCAGAAAUACAACCUGAUGUUCAUUUGGCACCGGUUUAAUAAACCUUGCGGAGUGGUAGGUGACAGGUGGACACUCAUAUAUAACCGUGUUAAAUCGACAUUUGAUAUCAGCGCGUAGUGGUCGGUAGAACCUUUUCCGUGAACUUUAAGUUCACGGAGUGCAGUUUUGUACGACUCAUUGGCUUUAUUGAAUUCAUUUCCGGUGAUGAUAUCUAUAUCUCUUGACACUGGGGGUGCUUUAAGAUACCUGUUUAGGCUGUGCCUUAUGUUUUCCAAGGUACUUGUCUUGUACAAUUCACCUUUUUUUGUUCUGGCAUCUAAGUAAAAUGUUGACAGAACAUCAGCUAGUUCUUCUGUAGAAUAGCUCUCAAAAUUUACAUUCAUAUCUUUUUCUUUAAGGUAAAUCCUUAAUGUUUCUGCAGCCAUUUUGUUCAUUUUUAAUGUAUUAUCUGGAGUAUAUUUCACUCUCUUUUCUUGAACAUCUUCUUUCGAGUGAGCACCAAAGCGUUUCAUAUUGAACUAAAUUAAAGUGAUUUUGAUACUAAAUGGUAUGAGUUACAAUAAUAUAUUUAUUUGCUUCAAGAAGAAUGAUAUUUGGUUAUACUCUCUGUAAAUAAGAAAUGAAGCAGUAUAUAUAUAUAUAUUUUUUAAGUAGAAGUUUAUUGAGCCGUGCCAUGAGAAAACCAACAUAGUGGGUUUGCGACUAGCAUGGAUCCAGACCAGCCUGCGCAUCUGGCCAGGAGCCAUGCUAUUCGCUUUCAAAGCCUAUUGGAAUUGGAGAAACUGUUAGCGAACAGCAUGGAUCCUGACCAGACUGCGCGGAUGCGCAAGAUGGUAUGGAUCAAAUUACUGGUCGCAAACCUACUAUGUUGGUUUUCUCAUGGCGCGGCUCAUUUAUUAUAUCAUAUAAUUAUGUUGUUAUAAUAUUCAUCAACUGUUGGUUAUUUUUAUUGUAAUAAAAGAAAUAGUAAUGUUUUAAGCGACAUAUUCAGUUACUUGAGAAACAUUGUCGUCAAACUUUCGACAGUCAAAAUUAAUUUAUUUUUUUGUUAUUUCAAUUUUCACUUGAUUUUCUAAUUAUUAUCCUUUAGUUAACUGUUUACUACUAAUUUUGAAAUUAAUAUAAUGUGGGCAUGUCCCUUUACCUUUACCAUGCUGGACACAAUAUAUAUAAAUGUGUUUGCAGCAAGUGUAGGUCAUGACCAGCAUGUACAUCUGUGAAGGCUGAUCAUGAUCUGCACUCUUCUGUUUGUAUCUUAAGACUUUUGGUAAGCACCCCUUUAAAUACAAUAGUUAAUGGUACUGUCCAAAUUGAAAGAUAGAUAAAUGCAUUCUAGAAAUUCAGCAGGGUAAAGGUUAGAGGCAUUUAUUCACAUUUAAAUAAUUUAUGCUAGAAUAGCGUUAGCGCACAUUCUUUUCGUGUUAUAAAUUCUUCAGAAUCCCUCGGGUAUUGUUGGUACUCUUGCCCUAAUGGGCUUGGGUACCAACUAAUUCCUCGGAAUUCUGCAGAUGUAAUAACUUUAAAAAAAAACAUGUGUUAUCCCUAUGUAGAGUUUGAUCUAGAUAUUUGGUUCAUGUGUGAGUGUUAAUCCCUUUAUUAUUUUAUUAAGUUGUGAAUUAUGUAUUGUAAACAACUUUAAAUGUCAAUGCACUGCAGUGCAGGGUCCCCAGUGCAGGUCUGUUACCUAGGAAAAUAUUAGGCAACUUAGGCAAUUGAUACCCUCCCCCCCCCCCCCCCCCACACAUUUUGAUAAUGUUUUGUUUAGAUCUUUUUUAUAAUCUAAAGUGUAAAUUGGCUUUUUAUGCAUUUGGUUUUGAUUAUUUUUAAUGACAUAUGUAAAAAAGAAAUAAAUUUGUCAAAUCAUA